UUUCUAGUACCUUCUCUUCUUAAUGGGGAUGCAUAAAAUGUAUUAUCCUUUUCUCUUCUACAGUGGACCGCUUGUUUGAGAUAUUCUGCGAGUGUGCAGAGCUUAAUCCAGAACCCAUUGAAGGAGAAGAAGAAGCGCAUAAUUGGAUUUUUAGUGCUGAUCGGAUUGGAGAUGAAGUUGCAGAAGGGGAAGAUCCUGAUUGGAUUAUGUCUCAAAAUCCAACAAGCACAAUUGGUCAAUCUAAUGGGGAUCAUGACUUAGCACGUACAGUGCUAGAGCUUCAGAUCAACGAUCAGCGAUUUGAGGAUGCAGAAGAAAUGGGGCAUGAUGUCAACAGUGGCCACCGUUGAGCUUGUUCUCCCUUUUCUUUCUUCACAUCUUCGGGUGUUGCCAUUAACCAGUGUCCAUCUUGUUUCUUUUGUGGUUCCGAGUCUUUUUGUAUAUGUGAAACAUUAUCUUCAAAUACUUGGCCCAGGAGCAUCGUCACAUUAGGACUUAUAAAGUCAUUUUGCUUCUAACCAGUUUGUGUAUUGCUGUUAUCGGAAUUAUUAUUCGUGGUAACCGAAUUUUCUCAUAACUUUUUAGACAAAUAUGUUAGUUAUUAUUAUGCCCAACCCAAAAGAACAUACUUGACAUGCAUAACCUUUUCAGGCAAAUU
Molecule: long non-coding RNA, 658 nt
Organism: Morus notabilis
Lineage: Eukaryota; Viridiplantae; Streptophyta; Magnoliopsida; Rosales; Moraceae
Exons: 4
Source: RefSeq, a predicted model, not a curated record